Myxocyprinus asiaticus (Chinese sucker) is the source of this 605-nucleotide long non-coding RNA. RefSeq lists it as uncharacterized. Lineage: Eukaryota; Metazoa; Chordata; Actinopteri; Cypriniformes; Catostomidae. The record is from RefSeq and is a predicted model, not a curated record. The transcript has 3 exons.
CAGACAGACUGUGAGACUGCAACAUCCAAAGAAGAAUCUUCAUUAAUAUAAUCCACUAACCAGAAUAAUUUUUCCCACACGGCCAGACUCAACUCAUCUUCAGAGAUUAUAAAAGCAUCCUGCAAGACUUAUAAUGAGACUAGGCAGAGCUGAGAGACUCAAUCAAGAUUGUGGCAAAGAGAGAGAGAAGAAUAAGUUUAAAAUCUAUUAUACAGUUGAUGUAUCUUUUUUACUGCAUAUGUUGUUAGGAGUUCUUUAAGUGGGUGUUUUCAGUGAUUAAAUGACUGUUGUGUUUUGCGGUUGCUGGAGACUAGGUCAACAGAGACAGACACAGGCGUAUUGUGUAUUCUGUGGACAUGAUGUCUGAUGAAGAAGAUGGUGUUGUCUAUGGGAGGCCGUGUGGGUUGUAAAACUAGCAGCUUUGAGAAGAUCUGUUCCAGGAUCUACAGAAGAGACUUUAUACAGACCAAUGCUAUACUUGGACUGAUCACUUUCCUGUGAUAACAAGUGACAGAGUCAGAUGCCAGUUCAUUUACUGAACUCUAAUUGAAGCUUCACAAUGUGUUUCAGAUGUUUGCAUAUUUUAUUUUUAUAUUUUGUAUAUU